GGGUUUAGUUGCGGGCAGCGACAAGAGCAGCUGCAGUGCGGGCGACGAUCUC
This 52-nucleotide small RNA is filed under the name Sinorhizobium meliloti 2011. RNAcentral describes it as "putative ncRNA". The record is from RNAcentral. Lineage: Bacteria; Pseudomonadati; Pseudomonadota; Alphaproteobacteria; Hyphomicrobiales; Rhizobiaceae.